AAUAAGUGCAGUUUUGCACUAUUCACGUUCAACGUUUCACCGUUCGUCUUAUUUGAAAAUUUUUUAUGAUUAGUAUUUUACUUGCUAUUAGAUGAUAAAACAUGAAUAGUACUUUAUGUGUGACUAAAUAUUUUUAAAUAAGACGGACGGUCAAAUGUUGGGCACGGAUAUCCACGGCUGCACUUAUU
MicroRNA precursor from Oryza sativa Japonica Group (Japanese rice), 188 nucleotides. It matches the Rfam family "MIR812 microRNA precursor family". The record is from Rfam. Lineage: Eukaryota; Viridiplantae; Streptophyta; Magnoliopsida; Poales; Poaceae.